CGUAGGGGCGAAGCGUUGUCCGGAUUUAUUGGGCGUAAAGGGCGCGUAGGCGGCCUCUUAAGUCAGUUGUGAAAGGUCCCGGCUCAACCGGGGAGUUGCAGCUGAAACUGGGAGGCUUGAGUGCAGGAGAGGAGAGCGGAAUUCUCGGUGUAGCGGUGGAAUGCGUAGAGAUCGGGAGGAACACCAGUGGCGAAGGCGGCUCUCUGGCCUGUUACUGACGCUGAGGCGCGAAAAGCGUGGGGAGCGAACAGGAUU
This 255-nucleotide ribosomal RNA is filed under the name uncultured bacterium. RNAcentral's name for it is "partial 16S ribosomal RNA". It matches the Rfam family "Bacterial small subunit ribosomal RNA", at positions 526 to 779 of the family's 1533-position model. The record is from RNAcentral.